GGCCUGUUGGUCUAGGGGUAUAAUUCUUGCUUAAGGUGCAACAUGUCCCAGGUUCAAAUACUGGAUGAGUCC
Megalops atlanticus (tarpon) is the source of this 72-nucleotide non-coding RNA. The record is from the annotation of a GenBank genome assembly. Lineage: Eukaryota; Metazoa; Chordata; Actinopteri; Elopiformes; Megalopidae.